RNAcentral lists this ribosomal RNA (441 nucleotides) under uncultured bacterium. Its description in RNAcentral is "partial 16S ribosomal RNA". It matches the Rfam family "Bacterial small subunit ribosomal RNA", at positions 338 to 795 of the family's 1533-position model. The record is from RNAcentral.
CCUACGGGUGGCAGCAGUAGGGAAUUUUGCGCAAUGGGGGAAACCCUGACGCAGCAACGCCGCGUGAUCGAUGAAGCCGUUCGGGGUGUAAAGCUCUGUCAGUGGGGACGAAACCUGACGCUACCCACAGAGGCAGCACCGGCUAACACCGUGCCAGCAGCCGCGGUAAUACGGGGGGUGCAAGCGUUGUCCGGGAUCAUUGGGCGUAACGAGUUCGUAGGUGGCACGUUAAGGCUGGUGUUAAAGGCGGAAGCUCAAAUUCCGGAGGGCACUGGAUACUGGCGGGCUUGAGUGCGGUAGAGGUAAGGGGAAUUCCUGGUGUAGCGGUGAAAUGCGUAGAUAUUAGGAGGAACAUCGGUGGCGUAAGCGCUUUACUGGGCCGUAAUUGACACUGAGGAACGAAAGCCGGGGUAGCAAAUGGGAUUAGAUACCCCAGUAGUC